Molecule: unclassified non-coding RNA, 336 nt
Filed under: soil metagenome
Description: partial contains 5.8S ribosomal RNA, internal transcribed spacer 2, and large subunit ribosomal RNA
Rfam family: 5.8S ribosomal RNA (bases 1-120)
Source: RNAcentral
GAUGAAGAACGCAGCGAAAUGCGAUAAGUAGUGUGAAUUGCAGAAUUCAGUGAAUCAUCGAAUAUUUGAACGCACAUUGCGCCCGCCAGUAUUCUGGCGGGCAUGCCUGUUCGAGCGUCAUUUCAACCAUCAAGCCCCCGGCUUGUGUUGGGGACCUGCGGCUGCCGCAGGCCCUGAAAAGCAGUGGCGGGCUCGCUGUCACACCGAGCGUAGUAGCAUACAUCUCGCUCUGGGCGUGCUGCGGGUUCCGGCCGUUAAACCACCUUCAUAACCCAAGGUUGACCUCGGAUCAGGUAGGAAGACCCGCUGAACUUAAGCAUAUCAAUAAGCGGAGGA